RNAcentral lists this ribosomal RNA (477 nucleotides) under Kluyveromyces marxianus. Its description in RNAcentral is "eukaryotic LSU rRNA". It matches the Rfam family "Eukaryotic large subunit ribosomal RNA", at positions 125 to 639 of the family's 3401-position model. The record is from RNAcentral. Lineage: Eukaryota; Fungi; Ascomycota; Saccharomycetes; Saccharomycetales; Saccharomycetaceae.
GCGUCUUCGACGUCCGAGUUGUAAUUUGAAGAAGGCGACUUUGUAGCUGGUCCUUGUCUAUGUUCCUUGGAACAGGACGUCAUAGAGGGUGAGAAUCCCGUGUGGCGAGGAUCCCAGUUAUUUGUAAAGUGCUUUCGACGAGUCGAGUUGUUUGGGAAUGCAGCUCUAAGUGGGUGGUAAAUUCCAUCUAAAGCUAAAUAUUGGCGAGAGACCGAUAGCGAACAAGUACAGUGAUGGAAAGAUGAAAAGAACUUUGAAAAGAGAGUGAAAAAGUACGUGAAAUUGUUGAAAGGGAAGGGCAUUUGAUCAGACAUGGCGUUUGCUUCGGCUUUCGCUGGGCCAGCAUCAGUUUUAGCGGUUGGAUAAAUCCUCGGGAAUGUGGCUCUGCUUCGGUAGAGUGUUAUAGCCCGUGGGAAUACAGCCAGCUGGGACUGAGGAUUGCGACUUUUGUCAAGGAUGCUGGCGUAAUGGUUAAAU